Non-coding RNA from Bipolaris maydis ATCC 48331, 76 nucleotides. The record is from the annotation of a RefSeq genome assembly. Lineage: Eukaryota; Fungi; Ascomycota; Dothideomycetes; Pleosporales; Pleosporaceae.
GCCCGGCUGGCACAAUUGGUUAGCGCGUGAGACUUUUAAUCUCAAGGCUCAGGGUUCGGUAAGCGUCAACCGUGUU